UACGGAGGAUGCGAGCGUUAUCCGGAUUUAUUGGGUUUAAAGGGUGCGUAGGCGGGCUUUUAAGUCAGCGGUAAAAAUUCGGGGCUCAACCCCGUCCGGCCGUUGAAACUGGGGGCCUUGAGUGGGCGAGAAGAAGGAGGAAUGCGUGGUGUAGCGGUGAAAUGCAUAGAUAUCACGCAGAACCCCGAUUGCGAAGGCAGCCUUCCGGCGCCCUACUGACGCUGAGGCACGAAAGUGCGGGGAUCGAACAGG
RNAcentral lists this ribosomal RNA (252 nucleotides) under uncultured bacterium. Its description in RNAcentral is "partial 16S ribosomal RNA". It matches the Rfam family "Bacterial small subunit ribosomal RNA", at positions 524 to 776 of the family's 1533-position model. The record is from RNAcentral.